GCCUCCGGUGUAACAGGCCGAUCAUUAUGGGGGACCCAGGACCCCGAAGCGGGAUGGACCCUGACCGACCGACCGCUGCGCAGAGCUCAUCCAGGCGGUUUAUACCGGGAUAAAAGACCAUUCUGUGUGUGCAAUAACAAACAGAGAGCUGCAGAGGAGGCGGUGUUUGCUGGGAUUCAAUCAGAGCCAAAGAGUCGCGACUGGGAGCUUAACUAGAGAGAGCGACGCGAGUUAUAAUCUAACUGGAUCCAGCUCGAAAUUGCGAGAAUGAUGGAGGAAUUGUCGAUUACAAGCUUGUCCGGUCAGCCCAACCCUGUCAGAGCAGGGUGGGUUCAUCCGGAGUGAAAUCAGUCGGCUCUUAUCUGUUGGCUUCCCCUCCGCCGGGCGGCGAUGUCCACUUUCUGCCUCGACCUGCAGGUUUCAGCACCACUGGAGCUGGACAGCGACUGCAUGGAGCCCCGGGCCAGCCCCGCCGCACAGGAGCCCGGCGGCUUUCAGGGUCACCCGCUGCGGCACGCCGGCUCCGGAGGCCUCGGCAUGGCCUUGGAGGAGGAACUGGCCAUGCUUACCGGGGAGCGGGGCGAGGAGGAGGACCUGCCCGACCUAGAGACGCCUGCGGUGGGGCAUAACGCAGACUUGCUGUCGCUCUUCCGUCAGAAGGAAAAAGAUUUGGUUUUAGCUGCUAAACUCGGCAAAGCGCUGCUGGAGAGAAACCAAGACUUGACCAAGCAAUAUGAGAAAAUGCACAAAGAUCUCAACGAGAAAUUAGAGCACUUGGAGCAGGAGAAGCAUGAGUUGCGUCGGCGUCUGGAAAGUCGAGAGGGGGAGUGGGAGGGCCGCGUGACCGAGCUGGAGACGGACGUCCAGCAGCUGCAGGGUGAACUGGAGCUCCAUCAGGUCCAGCUGAGAGAGGCCGACAGAGACAAGACCAAGGCCAUCAGCCAGCUCUCCGAACAGAACCACAGACUGCUGGAGCAACUCAGCAGGGCUGCAGAGGUGGAGAGGCAGCUGUCCACUCAGGUCCAUUCACUCCGGGACGACUUCAGGGAGAAGAGUGUGUCCAGCAGCCAGCACAUGACUCGACUGGAGACUCUACAGGCAGAGCAAGGGCUAGAAAUUAAGAUGCUGUCGGAGAGGAAGAUGGAGCUGGAGCGUCGGGUGCACGCCAUGCUGGAGGAGAACGAGCUGCUGCAGAACUCAGUGGACGACCUCCGAGAGAGGAAGCUGGUGUUGGAGAGGCAGUCUCACGAGAAGGACCUGCAGUUACGGCAGAGUCAGCUGGAGCUGCAGGAGGUCCAGAUGUCCCACAGGCAGCUGAGCGCGCGGCUGGAGGAGCUGACGGAGGAGCACAGCCUCCACAGCCUCACGCCGCACCCGUCCAGCCUGCUGUGUGAGAUCGAACAGAGCAUGGAGCAGGAGGAGCAGGAGCAGGAGCGAGAGCAGCUGCGUCUCCAGCUGUGGGAGACGUACUGUGAGGUGCGCUCGCUCUGCUCUCACCUUCGGGGGAACGACGUCACGGACUCGGCGCUGUCCACCGACUCCUCCAUGGACGAGUCCUCGGAGACGUCCUCAGCCAAGGAUGUGCCUACUGGGAGCCUCCACACCGGCCUGCUGGAGCUGCGGAGGCUCACACAGAAUCUGCUGGAUGGAAACGAGUCCACGGGCUCGCGGCGCAGCGAUGAGGAGGCUCUGGAGGAGCAGGUGAGGAAGAUGGGAGAUGAGCUGAGGGAAGUCAGAGAGCUGUACGAGGCUGAGCAGGACAAAACACGCAGCAGAGAAGACGAAGUGCUGCAGCUGCACAAUCAGAUGGCGCUGCUCUCCGUGGAGAUGUGCUCUCUCCGGGAGGACAACGAGCGGAUCAGGGCGAUGGCUGAAGUCCGAGAACCCAGCGAGCAGCUGCAGGCUGCGAUCAGAGACAGAGACGACGCCAUAUCCAAGAAGAAAGCGGUGGAGAUGGAGCUGGCCAAGUGUAAAAUAGACAUCAUGUCUCUGAACAGUCAGCUCCUGGACGCCAUCCAGCAGAAGCUCAACCUGUCGCAGCAGCUGGAGGCUUGGCAGUUUGCCUCCUCAGGGCUCUUUACUGUUUGGCUCUUGUGGUUUCUGAUCUAGUGGCCUUUCUCAGCUUCCGUACCACCCUUUCUUCCCCUGUGGUACCCCCCCUCCUGCCUUAGAGGACGACAUGCACAGAGUGAUUGACCAGCAGUUGAUGGACAAGUACCAGGACGAGUGGCGCUCGGCCCCCGCCUCCCUGUCGGGGUCGCUGAGGGCCCACGGCGCUCAGUCCUCCAGACGCGCUCACCGCAUCUCCGACCGGGACAAGAGACUUUUCUCUUUUUUCAAAAAGAGCUGAGUCGCGUUGGACGGAUCCUGAGCACGGCAGACACACAGGAGGAAGUGACAUCACAGGAGGAAGUGACAUCACAGGGGUAACAACACAGCCA
RNA transcript from Cottoperca gobio, 2441 nucleotides. It is a transcript of the gene named BICD family like cargo adaptor 1, with no coding region annotated. NCBI's taxonomy places the organism in Eukaryota, Metazoa, Chordata, Actinopteri, Perciformes, Bovichtidae. The record is from RefSeq and is a predicted model, not a curated record. The transcript is spliced from 12 exons.